This 290-nucleotide ribosomal RNA is filed under the name Stenotrophomonas sp. EMJ8. Its description in RNAcentral is "partial 16S ribosomal RNA". It matches the Rfam family "Bacterial small subunit ribosomal RNA", at positions 72 to 364 of the family's 1533-position model. Lineage: Bacteria; Pseudomonadati; Pseudomonadota; Gammaproteobacteria; Lysobacterales; Lysobacteraceae. The record is from RNAcentral.
UUGCUCCUUUGGGUGGCGAUGUGGCGGACGGGUGAUGAAUACAUCGGAUUCUACUUUUUCGUGGGGGAUAACGUAGGGAAACUUACGCUGAAUACCGCAUACGACCUACGGGUGAAAGCAGGGGACCUUCGGGCCUUGCGCGAUUGAAUGAGCCGAUGUCGGAUUAGCUAGUUGGCGGGGUAAAGGCCCACCACGGCGACGAUCCGUAUCUGGUCUGAGAGGAUGAUCAGCCCCACUGGACACUGAGACUACGGCUCCAGACUCCUACGGGAGGCAGCAGUGGGGAAUAU